UACCUCCCUCUGCACUGACUCGUGGUAUUGGCAUUCAGGGAAUUGGAACUAUGAUAGAUGCAGUAUUUGGUGCAGGACAUGGCUCCACUGCUUCUGUGGAAGAUGCAGGUCUUUUAGGAUUAACACAAGUAGGAAGUCGGAGGGUCGUUAUAGUAUCAGCAAUCAUUAUGGUUUUCUUUUCCAUUUUAGGAAAAGUUGGGGCUUUUCUCUCUUUAA
This 216-nucleotide unclassified non-coding RNA is filed under the name Hevea brasiliensis (rubber tree). Lineage: Eukaryota; Viridiplantae; Streptophyta; Magnoliopsida; Malpighiales; Euphorbiaceae. The record is from RNAcentral.